CACAACGUUGCCUCAACGUAGCGACCUUCCUACAACGUUGUACCAACCUUGCAAAAAGGUUGAGGAUUCUACGUUGUUGCUAAACGUUGUCACAACGAUGUCAUAAGGUUGCCAUUUAAACAUCACGAGGGCCGCAUACUUUAGGUUGUGCUCAGGUGGCGUGGACAACCACUGUACAACAUUUACUGGUCACAGCUGAAUCAGUUUAAAUUUCAACAAGCCGUCGUCUCAUUCAUCAACGACCGAGGAGACGCUAUUUUCACAUGGAGAAUUUUUUCAGCUGUUGAAUUCACCUCAGAUCAGUGUUGCUGUAAUUCCUGAUCUAUGGAAAGAAUAAUUGAAUAAGGUAAGAAGUAUACUACUCUAUUUACUAUUAAAUGUAGUUAUGUUACCUAAAACAGCAUGUUCAUAAUGUGGAAAAUAG
Non-coding RNA from Danio rerio (zebrafish), 424 nucleotides. The record is from RefSeq and is a predicted model, not a curated record. NCBI's taxonomy places the organism in Eukaryota, Metazoa, Chordata, Actinopteri, Cypriniformes, Danionidae.